RNAcentral lists this transfer RNA (68 nucleotides) under Chasmoptera huttii. Its description in RNAcentral is "tRNA-Asn". Lineage: Eukaryota; Metazoa; Arthropoda; Insecta; Neuroptera; Nemopteridae. The record is from RNAcentral.
UUAACCGAAACCAAAAUAGAGGUAUGUCACUGUUAAUGAUAUCAUUGAAUUAUCUUAUUCCGGUUAAA